This 2712-nucleotide long non-coding RNA is filed under the name Homo sapiens (human). RNAcentral's name for it is "HSALNT0143611". Lineage: Eukaryota; Metazoa; Chordata; Mammalia; Primates; Hominidae. The record is from RNAcentral.
UUUAAGUUCUGGAGCCUGCCUGUGUUCAGAAUCCAGCUCUCCCGUUUGCUAGCUGUCAGACCUUGGGCAAGCUUUGUGCUGAUGAACAUGGUCACCUUGAAAGGUGUGUUGAAUAUGGCAGAGCCAGAAAAUGCAAGGAGCUUCUUCUCUGGAUCACCACUUGAAGAAGAGCCACUUGCUCCUCAGGAACCCUAUUUUGGACUGACGUUGCAAGAAAGCUCAAGUAGCCUAUGGAGAGGAUGCAAGGCUUCCAGCUGAUGCCCUCAGCCAGGCUCAGUAGCAGCCAGAACUAGCCUACCAACGAACCUGCUGAUCAUGUGCAUAAGCCACCUUGAACGUCGAUCCUCCUGCCUGGUGGAGCCAUCCCAGCUGAUGCCACAUGAAGCAGACACAAGCUGUCCCUACUAAGCUCUGCUCAAGUUGGAUAUUCAUGAGUGAAAUAAAUGACUGUUACUAAGUAAUUAAUUUUUGGGUGGCUGUUAUGUAGCAGUAGAUAAUUGGAACAAAGCUUAUUGACAUAAUACAUCUAUAUCACAUCCUCCAAUCCAUUUUUUUAAGUAAUAAAGUUGAUGUUUGUUUUGAUUUUCAGUUACAGCUUUACAUAUUUUGUCUUAAUUAGUCAAUUUUUUCCAAACUCAAAAUGGGUUUUUGUAAGAGUAGUAGUAGGGUCCUAGAAUAAUGGCAAUUCUCUUUCACUGGAGAAAGUUUUGUAGAGAAGACAAAAGAAUUUUUACAAGUACUCCACUGGUGAAAACUCAUAAACCUUGAAGGUAUUUUUAAAUUCAUCAUGCAUUUAUCAAUUUAUAAAUGAAUUCAUCAUUCAUUGGUCCAUUCAUCCAUCCCUCCAUCCAUUUCUAGAUCCUCUCAUAAGAGGAAAUCUAGGAAUAAGCCUGAUCAGUGAAAGUUUCAUGGGAAAGAGGAAGGAGGAAGAAAUUAUUUUAUUUUUAGAGUUUUGGGAGUUAGUGGUUAUGGACUUGCACUGGAGAAGAUGGGUGAGAAAGUUCAAGGUUUCUAAAAUGGGAAAGUAGGCCUGGAGAAAAUGUUGCAACCAAGAUUAUAAGGCCAAUUACCAGGUCUGAUUACCAGAAAAUAAUUUUUAAGGCAGGAAUAUUAGGCCAUAUCAGUACCUGAAAGAGUGAUCGAGGCUAAUUUGUUCAUUCAUGUAACAACAAUUUAUUAUGUGCUACUAAGUACCAUCACUAUAUUAUAAACUGAGGGUUCAGUAGUGGAUAAGAGAAACUAAUUCCCUGGCCUAAUGAAGAUUUCAUUCAACGGGGAAAACAAGAAACAUAUAUGUAAAUUAGCAAAAGUUAAUAAUAUCAUUCAAAGAGUGCUAAGAGCUCUGAAAAUAGUAAAGCAGGGUGACUGAUAAAACAGGACUAAGCAGGUAACAGUAAGAGGUGAUCAGGGAAAAAACCUCUGAAGAAAACAUAUUUGAUCUGGAAUCCAAAUGGCAAGUAGAAUGAAGAAGGUAAAUAAUUCAUACAAGAGCAUAUCUCUUCCAUAGCAAGUGCAAAGACCCUGGGCAAAUGCCAUAGUUGAGCUAGCACCCACCACUGGCUUCAAGUGAUGGGUGAGUGAUACAGACUCAAGGAAAGGGCCAAAAGGGCAGACAAAACCAGUUCAAUUUGUCACUUAUUCAUCCACCCAUUGAUCCAUCUACUGAUCCAUUUAUCCAUCCAUCCAUCCAUCCAUCCAUCCAUCCAUCCAUCCAUCUAUUCAACAUACAUGUUGGGUGCCCUUUACAUACCAGGACCUGUACUGGGCAUGGGAACUGCAGAGAUGAAAAGAUGAACAAUCUCUGUACUUGAGGGACUCAUCUCACUCUGUGAGAUGAACUGGCAUGUGACUGAAAACUCACUAUAUUGGUAACGAGACUAAAACACAGAGCUUAAUGAUUUAACCUGAUACCACCCAAGUGGUUAGCGGUUAGUGGCAGGGCUUCAGAAUUUUAUUUUCCUUCCCUACAGGGAAAACCAUUAUGUGUGACCUACUUUUUCAAACUCUCUUCCUCAGUGGGGCAACAAUUAGAGUUUAUCUAUUGCUAGUGCUUACCAUUUUAGGCUCCUUUAAUUAGAGUGUUUUAAAUUAGUGUUAUUUUAAUUUUGCUUAUCUCCUGAGACAUUAUAGAGGAUAAAUAGCAAAUGAAAUAAUGUACAUGAAAACACAUUGUAACCCAUAAACCAUCAUACAGAUGUGUGUUAUAUACAGUUUUAUAUUUGAGGAUAUAGCUUUAUGCAUUAGUACUGCUUCCUCCUCAGGGAUGUCUCCAAAAGAAUUCAGAGUAAAACAGACUUGUGGAUUGAUGCUUUAAAGACAUUUUGUAUUUUCUUUAAAAAUAAAAUUGACUCACAGUAGGUGCUUAAUAAAUAUUUGUUCAAAGAAUGCAUAAGAUGCAAUAUUCAGAGACAUAGAUUCAGUGUAGUAGGCAUCAGUGUGGCUACUUGGCUACUUACUGUGCAAAAGAUGUCAAUUUGUGAGUGCAAAUUCAUCUUAAGGAAAUUCUCUGAUUUAAUUUAAGCAUUGGUAGAGAGAUUUACUAUUAUCCUCCUUGGAAAUGAAAAGCAUAUAGCUCAGGGAAGGAAGAUCACAUUUUUAGGAGAACUAUCUGGGGGCAGAUUACCCAAAGUGUUAAUUAUUAUAAUUACUAUUGUUAAGUUGGUUUUAAAGUCCUAUAUGAUGUAAUAUCAUGUUCUCUUUUUGUUUCUCCAG